Molecule: ribosomal RNA, 1412 nt
Filed under: Kluyvera sichuanensis
Lineage: Bacteria; Pseudomonadati; Pseudomonadota; Gammaproteobacteria; Enterobacterales; Enterobacteriaceae
Description: partial 23S ribosomal RNA
Rfam family: Bacterial large subunit ribosomal RNA
Source: RNAcentral
UAACGCUGAGGUGUGAUGACGAGGCACUACGGUGCUGAAGUAACAAAUGCCCUGCUUCCAGGAAAAGCCUCUAAGCAUCAGGUAACAUCAAAUCGUACCCCAAACCGACACAGGUGGUCAGGUAGAGAAUACCAAGGCGCUUGAGAGAACUCGGGUGAAGGAACUAGGCAAAAUGGUGCCGUAACUUCGGGAGAAGGCACGCUGAUAUGUAGGUGAAGUGGUUUACCCAUGGAGCUGAAAUCAGUCGAAGAUACCAGCUGGCUGCAACUGUUUAUUAAAAACACAGCACUGUGCAAACACGAAAGUGGACGUAUACGGUGUGACGCCUGCCCGGUGCCGGAAGGUUAAUUGAUGGGGUUAGCGGCAACGCGAAGCUCUUGAUCGAAGCCCCGGUAAACGGCGGCCGUAACUAUAACGGUCCUAAGGUAGCGAAAUUCCUUGUCGGGUAAGUUCCGACCUGCACGAAUGGCGUAAUGAUGGCCAGGCUGUCUCCACCCGAGACUCAGUGAAAUUGAACUCGCUGUGAAGAUGCAGUGUACCCGCGGCAAGACGGAAAGACCCCGUGAACCUUUACUAUAGCUUGACACUGAACACUGGUCCUUGAUGUGUAGGAUAGGUGGGAGGCUUUGAAGUGUGGACGCCAGUUCGCAUGGAGCCAACCUUGAAAUACCACCCUUUAAUGGCUGGUGUUCUAACGUAGACCCGUAAUCCGGGUUGCGGACAGUGUCUGGUGGGUAGUUUGACUGGGGCGGUCUCCUCCUAAAGAGUAACGGAGGAGCACGAAGGUUAGCUAAUCCUGGUCGGACAUCAGGAGGUUAGUGCAAAGGCAUAAGCUAGCUUGACUGCGAGAGUGACGGCUCGAGCAGGUGCGAAAGCAGGUCUUAGUGAUCCGGUGGUUCUGUAUGGAAGGGCCAUCGCUCAACGGAUAAAAGGUACUCCGGGGAUAACAGGCUGAUACCGCCCAAGAGUUCAUAUCGACGGCGGUGUUUGGCACCUCGAUGUCGGCUCAUCACAUCCUGGGGCUGAAGUAGGUCCCAAGGGUAUGGCUGUUCGCCAUUUAAAGUGGUACGCGAGCUGGGUUUAGAACGUCGUGAGACAGUUCGGUCCCUAUCUGCCGUGGGCGCUGGAGAAUUGAGGGGGGCUGCUCCUAGUACGAGAGGACCGGAGUGGACGCAUCACUGGUGUUCGGGUUGUCAUGCCAAUGGCAUUGCCCGGUAGCUAAAUGCGGAAAAGAUAAGUGCUGAAAGCAUCUAAGCACGAAACUUGCCCCAAGAUGAGUUCUCCCUGACUCCUUGAGAGUCCUGAAGGAACGUUGAAGACGACGACGUUGAUAGGCUGGGUGUGUAAGCGUAGCGAUACGUUGAGCUAACCAGUACUAAUGAACCGUGAGGCUUAACCUUACAACGCCGAAG